RNAcentral lists this non-coding RNA (29 nucleotides) under Homo sapiens (human). The record is from RNAcentral. Lineage: Eukaryota; Metazoa; Chordata; Mammalia; Primates; Hominidae.
UCCAUAAAGAGGUGACACAGAUUACGUUC